Unclassified non-coding RNA from Macaca fascicularis (crab-eating macaque), 148 nucleotides. It matches the Rfam family "Metazoan signal recognition particle RNA". From Rfam's summary of the family: The signal recognition particle (SRP) is a universally conserved ribonucleoprotein. It is involved in the co-translational targeting of proteins to membranes. The eukaryotic SRP consists of a 300-nucleotide 7S RNA and six proteins: SRPs 72, 68, 54, 19, 14, and 9. Lineage: Eukaryota; Metazoa; Chordata; Mammalia; Primates; Cercopithecidae. The record is from Ensembl.
GCUGGGCGUGGUAGCGGACGCCUGUAAUCCCAGCUACUUGGGAGGCUAAGGCAGGAGAAUUGCUUGAACCCAGGAGGCGGAGGCUGCAGUGAGCUGAGAUCGCGCCACUACACUCCAGCCUGGGUCACAGAGCAAGACUCUGUCUCAA